UGCCUGAUCUUGCUUCUGAGAUUCUUCAAGGCAGAUGCUCAGAAACCAACCAACUUGAGCAGGCCUGGAGCUGCAUCUCUUGUGAUCUGAUCUUCACAGGGAAGAAUGCCCAGCCUCUUGGGACUGUCGAUGAUGGCACUGUGGCUGCAACUGACAAGGGUAAACAGUCAACUAGCAGAAGAGAAUCCCUGGGCCCUGAGCAUCCAUGAGGGCGAAAAUGUCACCGUGAAUUGUAGUUACAAGACAGCUAUAGUUGCCCUACAGUGGUACAAACAGAAGUCAGGUGGAGGCCCUGCCCUGCUAAUGUUAAUACGUGCAAAUGAGAGAGAGAAGCGCAGUGGAAGACUAAGAGCCACCCUUGACAGCUCCAGCCAGAGCAGCUCCCUGUCCAUCACUGCUGCUCAGUCUGCAGACACUGCUGAGUACUUCUGUGCUACAGACACACAGUGUGCGGCAGGCACCUGCAGCCCUGACACAAACCCUCAGAGCUGCUUCCUAGACCUCUAGGGUGUGUGAAGUGCUUCUGUGUCAUUCGAAUGUAAUUCUUUUACAUUUGCAAUUCUUUUUAUUUUACUUUAUUUUCCUAACCAGUGUUGCAAGGAAAAGACAUAGGAAAUUGAGUCCUGAUACCUUGAAAUUCCAAGAAGGAGGUCCUACUGACCGCUUACACUGGUUUAGUUAUAUGGAACUACACUGGUUUAGGCAAGAUCUUGGGAAAUGGCCAGAUUCCUCUUCAGCUUAUAUCCCACUGUGGAUAAAACAACACAAAACAAAACAACAAAAAAUAAAACAAAACAAAACAACAACAACGAAACAAAACCACACACACACACACACCCAAAACACAAAACAGAAAGGCUUAAAUCCACGGUAUCAAAGGAAGAAUGCUCUCUACACAGCACUCCAUCUAAGCUUGAAGGCCA
This is a non-coding RNA of Mastomys coucha (southern multimammate mouse), 923 nucleotides long. The record is from the annotation of a RefSeq genome assembly. Lineage: Eukaryota; Metazoa; Chordata; Mammalia; Rodentia; Muridae.